This 433-nucleotide ribosomal RNA is filed under the name uncultured bacterium. Its description in RNAcentral is "partial 16S ribosomal RNA". It matches the Rfam family "Bacterial small subunit ribosomal RNA", at positions 29 to 507 of the family's 1533-position model. The record is from RNAcentral.
AACGAACGCUGGCGGCAUGCCUAACACAUGCAAGUCGAACGAGAUCUUCGGGUCUUGCUGCGCACGGGUGCGUAACGCGUGGGAAGCUGCCCUUAGGUUCCGAAUCACUUCCCGAAAGGGGUGCUAAUACCGGAUAAUGUCAUCCCACCAAAGAUUUAUCGUCUUUGGAUGGGGCCGUGUUGGAUUAGCUUGUUGGUAUGGUAAAAGCCUACCAAGGCGACGAUCCAUAGCUGGUCUGAGAGGAUGAUCAGCCACACUGGGACUGAGACACGGCCCAGACUCCUACGGGAGGCAGCAGUGGGGAAUAUUGGACAAUGGGCGAAAGCCUGAUCGAGCAAUGCCGCGUGAGUGAUGAAGGCCUUAGGGUUGUAAAGCGCUUUUACCCGGGAUGAUAAUGACAGUACCGGGAGAAUAAGCUCCGGCUAACUCCGUG